This 1173-nucleotide long non-coding RNA is filed under the name Bos indicus x Bos taurus (hybrid cattle). RNAcentral describes it as "lncRNA (ENSBIXG00005015304.1)". The record is from RNAcentral. Lineage: Eukaryota; Metazoa; Chordata; Mammalia; Artiodactyla; Bovidae.
GUGCUGGUAGGUGGAAGGGUCUCCAGCGCUGGCCUGGGUUAGAGGCAGGCCUUCGGUGGCCGGGUCGAUCCAGCUGUGGGAACUGGGGCAGUGCAUCCUUUCUCUCCCACUCAGCCCUCUGCAGCAGCCUCAGGUGCUUGAGCAAGAGUAGCGGAGACUGUCAGUGGGGGCGCAUGUCAGAUCACAGGGUGGGGGAGACCCCACUUCAAUAAAGGCAGGACCCAAGGCUGGGCUGUUGCGUGAGUGAUACUGCUUGUAUUUCAAUCCCCAAGGCCCUUUCUCCUCCAGGACUGUGGUCUGUGGCAUCUAAGAUCUGGGGUUUUGGGAGUCUAAGUGUAGAUGGCACGAGAUUGACCUUCCCCAGUUAAGUCCCUUCUGUUUGGUCUCCAGCUAGGGGAUCGAGCUGGAGUUUAUUUUCCGGGGAGGGGGGGCUUCUGCCCCCACCAGAGUCCCCAGCGCAUGCUUUUGGCUUCCUCUCCCCACUCUUGGUCCCUGUCUUUAUCUACACUCACCCCUUGGAGGUCUCAUCCAUCUGCCGAGAUCGCCUGGAUUGACACCUCCCGCCCACCCCCAGCUGUUGCUGUGUGGCAGGGGAAGUGGCAGACUUCUCAGCCCCAAACGCAGCUCUUCUCUGCUGCCCCUGCCUCCGAGAUUCUCCUUGGGUUCCCUCUCUGUCAGUGAGGAGCAAUGGGUGGCGACCCCCCCACCUUCCACAUGCUCAGGCCCAAACCCCAGAGUCAACCCUGUCUCUAUUCUCACGUCCCAUGUGGAAGCCACCAGGAAACCCACUGGACCCUCUUUCAAGAUAGAUCCAGAAUCUGACCACGACUCCCGGCCUUUGCAGCCAUCGUCCGGGCCAGGAUCCCAGCAGCAGCCCCCUCCCUGGGGUCCCAGCCUCUGCCUUCACCCCUCCACCUCACUCUACAGUGGUGGUGGGUGUUCAAUGACCAGGGUCAUGUCCAGCCCUGUGUGUUUCUGCCAGUCUCCACCGGCCAGUGGAUGGGGGGACUCAGCGACUGCCCUGGAUGGCCUGCCUGCACCCCGGAAGUGCCCCGGAGUGUCCCAGCCAGUCCCUCAGCUCCGCGUGGAUGGAUGACCAUCUGCAGAUUUCAGGCCAGUGGUGCUCCCCAGCUCGGCUGUCCCGCAGGUCCUGCUGGACACCAGCCGCCCAGG